This 521-nucleotide unclassified non-coding RNA is filed under the name Penicillium rubens. Its description in RNAcentral is "sequence contains 18S rRNA gene, ITS1, 5.8S rRNA gene, ITS2, 28S rRNA gene". The stretch from base 185 to 337 matches the Rfam family "5.8S ribosomal RNA". The record is from RNAcentral. Lineage: Eukaryota; Fungi; Ascomycota; Eurotiomycetes; Eurotiales; Aspergillaceae.
GAUCAUUACCGAGUGAGGGCCCUCUGGGUCCAACCUCCCACCCGUGUUUAUUUUACCUUGUUGCUUCGGCGGGCCCGCCUUAACUGGCCGCCGGGGGGCUUACGCCCCCGGGCCCGCGCCCGCCGAAGACACCCUCGAACUCUGUCUGAAGAUUGUAGUCUGAGUGAAAAUAUAAAUUAUUUAAAACUUUCAACAACGGAUCUCUUGGUUCCGGCAUCGAUGAAGAACGCAGCGAAAUGCGAUACGUAAUGUGAAUUGCAAAUUCAGUGAAUCAUCGAGUCUUUGAACGCACAUUGCGCCCCCUGGUAUUCCGGGGGGCAUGCCUGUCCGAGCGUCAUUUCUGCCCUCAAGCACGGCUUGUGUGUUGGGCCCCGUCCUCCGAUCCCGGGGGACGGGCCCGAAAGGCAGCGGCGGCACCGCGUCCGGUCCUCGAGCGUAUGGGGCUUUGUCACCCGCUCUGUAGGCCCGGCCGGCGCUUGCCGAUCAACCCAAAUUUUUAUCCAGGUUGACCUCGGAUCAGG